RNAcentral lists this ribosomal RNA (254 nucleotides) under uncultured bacterium. Its description in RNAcentral is "partial 16S ribosomal RNA". It matches the Rfam family "Bacterial small subunit ribosomal RNA", at positions 524 to 777 of the family's 1533-position model. The record is from RNAcentral.
UACGAAGGGUGCAAGCGUUACUCGGAAUUACUGGGCGUAAAGCGUGCGUAGGCGGUUUGUUAAGUCUGUCGUGAAAGCCCUGGGCUCAACCUGGGAAUUGCGAUGGAUACUGGCAAGCUAGAGUACGGUAGAGGAUGGUGGAAUUCCCGGUGUAGCGGUGAAAUGCGUAGAGAUCGGGAGGAACACCCGUGGCGAAGGCGGCCAUCUGGACCAGUACUGACGCUGAGGCACGAAAGCGUGGGGAGCAAACAGGG